CUCUCUCAGACGAACGAUGCCGUCGAAGGGGAACCGAGAACCGACUGUAAACCGCCGGAGUCGAUACGGCCGGUUGUACUCCUCCCCGUCGACCGGUUAUAGUCGGUCCAUCCACCGUUUUCCCUCUCAUCAGUCGACGGCAGUUCUGCCCAAAAACCGCACCGAAGGGGUUGGUUUUCACCCCUAGUCUUUUCUUCUCUUCGGCUUUGUGGUCUUCUUUUCAAGCUUGUCUUUGGCUUUGUAGUCUUCAAGUGGAUCUGUGCUUUCUCUACAAGUGGUCUUCUUCUUCGUGGAAGGGUUGGGUCAUCUUUUUGUGGGUCAUUUGUGGUCUUCAAAGGGAUGAAGGGAGGGGGAGAGCCUGGUCUGGGUCGUGAAGAAAAACCAAAGCAAAGCUUUCGUGUUUCUUCUAGCUUUCAGGGACCAUGGGUCAUCAUUUUCGUGUGGGUCUUCUUCGUCAGCAGCUUCAUUAGGUGUAAGAUCAAGUUUUUUCUUUUCUCAGUCUACAUUUCUUCAACCGGUUCUUCCUGUAUAUUUCCUCCAUUCCGCAAGAAGAUUUAGUACUUUAAGGUCCCAAAAUUUAGUUUUUGUGUUCCUCUUUGGAGAAGAUUAGGGGUGAUUAUUACGCAUAUGUAUGGUGCUAUUAUGUUUAUAAUUGUGGAUUUUGAACUCUUAGGGUUAAGGAUUAGACUCUAAAGCCAGUAGUUAUCCUAAGUAGAAUGUCUUAAAGCAUUGGAGUGUCCUUGCGUGAUUGUUACGUUUAUGCCUUUUCAUAUUCGGCUUGAAAUUGCCCCUUGGAAGUUCGAAACCGCUCUGAGAAAAAAGAGGUCGAGGUAAAGCACAUUAUUUUCCUUUGCAACUUGAUCUUGUGUCACUCUUGCUCUUUCAUUUUUCUCCAUCACAUACCUACAUUUUUUGUUUCAGGUAUUGAUGAACCUUUUGGGUGACUGGUGUUUUUUUGGGGAUUAUUGUUAUACUACAUUAUGGAUUUGUUAGCUCCGUCUUGCUCGAAACAGUUUAAAUUGCUUAAAAUAGAUAAGGUUUUGGUCUCUUAAUUGGGUAAUAUGUAAAAUACAAUGCUUUCUUUCCCUGUUCUAUUGUCUUUGUUUUCUCUUUUUGGUACCCUCACAGGUUUUGUUGCCAUUGUUUUUUGCACAUUUCCUUCAAAAUUAAAAGGAAUUUUGUUUCUUGAUUAGAGGAAGGCGUUAGGGUCCCUUCUCUAUAUAGCCUGCUUGUCUUCACAAGCUUGUAGGUCACAAAUUAAUUGACUACAAAUAUUGAGGUUAUAAUGGAGUAAGGGUAAGCUUCUUUUCAUCAUUUUGGUCAUUGAUUUCUGCUUGCAAAAAAAUAAAAGAUCAAUUAAGAUGAUGGAUACAUUGUUAUUGACUAAUAUUAUGUGCUCUAAGAGCAUAAGGAUCUAAUGCCUGAUAUUUUCUACCUCAAAAUCUACUUGUUUUAUUGUCAACUCUUACUUCUCCCAUUAAAGCGUUGAAGUUAUUGAGCAAUAAUAUAAGAAAAAAUAAAUGUGAAAAGCAUCUGCCCAAAAUAUGCUUGAAAAGCAUCUGGGUUAUGUAUCAUUAUUGCUUUUGUUUUAUGUUCUUCUACUCACAGAUCUAGUUGAUGCAGAGUGAUAGUGAGAGUGGCAUGGUUUGGUGGCUGUUAAUAGUCGAAAAACCCCAAAAGUUAAGGCAAUUGAAGACAAUUUGAGGAGUAUUGUUUAUGGAGGCUGUGCUACUUAGGACAUGUUGAAGUUGCAAUGGAGAGUAGCCACACUUUAAGCAAAUGCAUUUAUGUUUAAUUGUAUAAUGUAAUUUAGCUUCAUUCCCAAAUGCACCAGUUGGUGGUUAAGACAAAGAGAUGACAUAUACAGGACGCCCGUUGGUGGUCAUUCCUUUUGUGCAAAGCUCGUGCCUCCUUGAAUAGCAUUUGUCUGGAUUACAAAUAUGAGAAUUUGGUGGCCAUUCAAAUACAAAUACGAGAAUCUGGCAAUAACGCUACAAAUAUGAGAAUUAUCUUAUGGCAUUUGUCUUGA
This is a long non-coding RNA of Carya illinoinensis, 2029 nucleotides long. RefSeq lists it as uncharacterized. Lineage: Eukaryota; Viridiplantae; Streptophyta; Magnoliopsida; Fagales; Juglandaceae. The transcript is spliced from 3 exons. The record is from RefSeq and is a predicted model, not a curated record.